Molecule: long non-coding RNA, 923 nt
Filed under: Dromaius novaehollandiae (emu)
Lineage: Eukaryota; Metazoa; Chordata; Aves; Casuariiformes; Dromaiidae
Description: lncRNA (ENSDNVG00000012692.1)
Source: RNAcentral
CCAGGGAUUUCUUUGUUCGGGGUCCCUCUUCGGAGGCACCCAGCCUGAGCUGUAAUUCGAACGGAGUCAGCAGAACAUCAUCAGACUCGGAGUGGUGGUAGCUAGCUUCUUCUCUCCUUUUCCAACUUUAUCUUUUCCCCUUACCCUUGUUCCCCUCUUCCCUUCAUCUCCCCUUCGCCUUUCCCCACCUUUUCUCCCCACUUCGUGGAAAAUAGAGUUAAACGGUUGUACAAUAUUUGACCGGUUUUAGCGUCUUAAUCUUGUCCUUGGGAUCGUAACGAACCCCCCCCGAUAUUGGAUCGGGACAUCUAAUAUAGCCUAAGAAGUUAAUACAAAAGGAAAACUAUUCUUCAUUUAAGAGACUUGAGUUUCAUUCAAGUUGGAAUUGAUCUGAAACUCUGCUUUUUUAUUUUGUAAAAGGGAACAGUAUCCUGAAAAAAUCAAAUUAUACCAAUGUAGUGGCAGUAGGAUAGACCUUUAUAUGUGUUACGAUACUUGGUAAGAUCUUUUUCUACAUGCAUUGAAGAGUCUUCCAUUGACUACAGUAAAGAACGGUUCAAUAUGGGAAGGCAGGGACUGAAGAAGAAAAGAAUAAGGAGAAGAAACAGCCAGGAACAGAAGGAGAGAGAAAGAGAUGGAAAGAUAGUUUUGACAAACAUUUCAAUUUCAUUCAUAACAAAAAGGUUCAUGUCAAGAGUUUUUUACUUAAUAGAGAUUGCUGUUGACUUCUAUCUAUUCCAUCCUUUUAACCCAUCAGAAAUGGAACUGGGAUAGUUCUAAACAGUUUGUUGUUGACAAGUCUAUAUCUAUGCUGAUGUUUAUUUCACUAUUUUAUUCAACAUAAUUACACAUUGUUUGUUUAAUAAUUAACUGGAAGCAUCUUUCUGUGCAUUGAUGUUAUGUUCAUUGGUAUAUACUUCCAC